This 204-nucleotide long non-coding RNA is filed under the name Musa acuminata (dwarf banana). RNAcentral describes it as "long non-coding RNA (MACU_LNC002665)". Lineage: Eukaryota; Viridiplantae; Streptophyta; Magnoliopsida; Zingiberales; Musaceae. The record is from RNAcentral.
ACGUUUGCAUAACAACCAAAGUUAUUAAUUACUAAUAAAAUUUAUGUGUAUAUUAUUUAUUAACAACCAAAAGUCAAGUACUUAACAAAUUGUUUAGCACUAACCCGAGAUACAAAUCCAAGCUAUCGAUACAAGUAUGUAAGAUAUGCAGCUCCCACAUGCAUAUGUCCCAACUGAAUAUAAUAUCUCUCAAAAUGUACAGGU